This 405-nucleotide long non-coding RNA is filed under the name Rattus norvegicus (Norway rat). RNAcentral describes it as "long non-coding RNA NONRATT029775". The record is from RNAcentral. Lineage: Eukaryota; Metazoa; Chordata; Mammalia; Rodentia; Muridae.
AAAGCAUGAAAGGCUUCCGACCAACCACAAGCUUAACAGAGGGCCGUACGUGCCAAGAUGGUGAGCUGGUAUAAACAUUUGGCUCUUUGGAACCAGAAAAUAAAAAUUCACACCUCAGCUUCGCUCCUUCCCGGCCACGUGACCUGUAUUAUUUAUGGAUAGGAAGUCCGUGAUGAGGAAUCGCAGAGAGCAUGGCCCCACCCUCCACGCCUGACCCCCAGGAACAGAAAUUGCGAGCACAGCUGGAGGAGGAAAAGAGCAGGUACAAAACCACCUUCAUGCGCCUGAAAGCCCUCAAGGUGGAGAUUGAGCACCUGCAGCUGCUCAUGGACAAAGCCAAGCUCAAGCUGCAGAAGGAGUUCGAAGCCUGGUGGGCAGAGGAGGCCAGCAGCCUGCAGGUGAGCU